GAGAACUCGGGUGAAGGAACUAGGCAAAAUGGCACCGUAACUUCGGGAGAAGGUGCGCCGGCUAGGGUGAAGGAUUUACUCCGUAAGCUCUGGCUGGUCGAAGAUACCAGGCCGCUGCGACUGUUUAUUAAAAACACAGCACUCUGCAAACACGAAAGUGGACGUAUAGGGUGUGACGCCUCCCCGGUGCCGGAAGGUUAAUUGAUGGGGUUAGCGCAAGCGAAGCUCUUGAUCGAAGCCCCGGUAAACGGCGGCCGUAACAAUAACGGUCCUAAGGUAGCGAAAUUCCUUGUCGGGUAAGUUCCGACCUGCACGAAUGGCGUAACGAUGGCGGCGCUGUCUCCACCCGAGACUCAGUGAAAUUGAAAUCGCUGUGAAGAUGCAGUGUAUCCGCGGCUAGACGGAAAGACCCCGUGAACCUUUACUGUAGCUUUGCACUGGACUUUGAGCCUGCUUGUGUAGGAUAGGUGGGAGGCUUUGAAGCGUGGACGCCAGUUCGCGUGGAGCCAUCCUUGAAAUACCACCCUGGCAUGCUUGAGGUUCUAACUCUGGUCCGUAAUCCGGAUCGAGGACAGUGUAUGGUGGGCAGUUUGACUGGGGCGGUCUCCUCCUAAAGAGUAACGGAGGAGUACGAAGGUGCGCUCAGACCGGUCGGAAAUCGGUCGCAGAGUAUAAAGGCAAAAGCGCGCUUGACUGCGAGACAGACACGUCGAGCAGGUACGAAAGUAGGUCUUAGUGAUCCGGUGGUUCUGUAUGGAAGGGCCAUCGCUCAACGGAUAAAAGGUACUCCGGGGAUAACAGGCUGAUACCGCCCAAGAGUUCAUAUCGACGGCGGUGUUUGGCACCUCGAUGUCGGCUCAUCACAUCCUGGGGCUGAAGCCGGUCCCAAGGGUAUGGCUGUUCGCCAUUUAAAGUGGUACGCGAGCUGGGUUUAGAACGUCGUGAGACAGUUCGGUCCCUAUCUGCCGUGGACGUUUGAGAUUUGAGAGGGGCUGCUCCUAGUACGAGAGGACCGGAGUGGACGAACCUCUGGUGUUCCGGUUGUCACGCCAGUGGCAUUGCCGGGUAGCUAUGUUCGGAAAGGAUAACCGCUGAAAGCAUCUAAGCGGGAAACUUGCCUCAAGAUGAGAUCUCACUGGGAACUUGAUUCCCCUGAAGGGCCGUCGAAGACUACGACGUUGAUAGGCUGGGUGUGUAAGCGUUGUGAGGCGUUGAGCUAACCAGUACUAAUUGCCC
Molecule: ribosomal RNA, 1236 nt
Filed under: metagenome
Description: bacterial LSU rRNA
Rfam family: Bacterial large subunit ribosomal RNA
Source: RNAcentral